RNAcentral lists this ribosomal RNA (794 nucleotides) under uncultured bacterium. RNAcentral's name for it is "bacterial SSU rRNA". It matches the Rfam family "Bacterial small subunit ribosomal RNA", at positions 62 to 845 of the family's 1533-position model. The record is from RNAcentral.
UCGAGGGGCAGCGGGGAGGUAGCAAUACUUUCGCCGGCGACCGGCGCACUGGUGAGUAACACGUAUGGAACCUGCCCGUAGCAGGGGGAUAAGCGGAAGAAAUUCCGUCUAAUACCGCGUAAUAACUCCGAGAGGCAUCUCAUGGAGUUUAAAGGGUAACACCGGCUACGGAUGGCCAUGCGGCGCAUUAGCUAGUUGGCGGGGUAACGGCCCACCAAGGCGACGAUGCGUAGGGGUUCUGAGAGGAAGGUCCCCCACACUGGUACUGAGACACGGACCAGACUCCUACGGGAGGCAGCAGUGAGGAAUAUUGGUCAAUGGGCGCGAGCCUGAACCAGCCAAGUCGCGUGAGGGAAGACGGUCCUAUGGAUUGUAAACCUCUUUUGUCGGGGAGCAAAAGACGCCACGCGUGGCGUUCCGAGAGUACCCGAAGAAAAAGCAUCGGCUAACUCCGUGCCAGCAGCCGCGGUAAUACGGAGGAUGCGAGCGUUAUCCGGAUUUAUUGGGUUUAAAGGGUGCGCAGGCGGAAGAUCAAGUCAGCGGUAAAAUUGAGAGGCUCAACCUCUUCGAGCCGUUGAAACUGGUUUUCUUGAGUGAGCGAGAAGUAUGCGGAAUGCGUGGUGUAGCGGUGAAAUGCAUAGAUAUCACGCAGAACUCCGAUUGCGAAGGCAGCAUACCGGCGCUCAACUGACGCUCAUGCACGAAAGUGUGGGUAUCGAACAGGAUUAGAUACCCUGGUAGUCCACACAGUAGACGAUGAAUACUAAUUGUUCGGAGAGAAUGAUCCCUGAGUG